AGUAAAAUGCCUGAUAAAAGGAUUAUUUUGAUAUAAUAAAAAUGUGAGCUUAAUUAUAAUCACUUUUACUA
This 71-nucleotide transfer RNA is filed under the name Seladonia tumulorum. Its description in RNAcentral is "tRNA-Ile". Lineage: Eukaryota; Metazoa; Arthropoda; Insecta; Hymenoptera; Halictidae. The record is from RNAcentral.